RNAcentral lists this ribosomal RNA (253 nucleotides) under uncultured bacterium. Its description in RNAcentral is "partial 16S ribosomal RNA". It matches the Rfam family "Bacterial small subunit ribosomal RNA", at positions 524 to 776 of the family's 1533-position model. The record is from RNAcentral.
UACGUAGGGUGCAAGCGUUAAUCGGAAUUACUGGGCGUAAAGCGUGCGCAGGCGGUUCUGUAAGAUAGAUGUGAAAUCCCCGGGCUCAACCUGGGAAUUGCAUAUAUGACUGCAGGACUUGAGUUUGUCAGAGGAGGGUGGAAUUCCACGUGUAGCAGUGAAAUGCGUAGAUAUGUGGAAGAACACUGAUGGCGAAGGCAGCCCUCUGGGACAUGACUGACGCUCAUGCACGAAAGCGUGGGGAGCAAACAGG